GAAAAACUUCAAAGUUUUAUGUUCCCAGAAUUUUAAACGAGAAAUCUGACCUUCCUGCAAUUUCUUGAUAUGUGCUGGUGAUGAUGAAAUCUGCUGAGUUCAUUGCAAUUAUAUCUGCUGUAAACUGACAUGAAAAAUGUUUUUGAAGUUACAAUACCAGUGUAACUCCCAGCUUGUUUGCCAUGAGUGAUGCAACCAGAUUUCCAUCUGUGUAAUUUCCAAUUAUGAUGUCAGGCUUUCCUUCCAUAAGCUCAAGAACUUUGGUCGUGGCAUCCUGGCAUCAGAUCAAACGAAAUUAGGCGCUGAAUCAGACCAAUUAUUAUGAGGCUUUUCUAUGUACUAGACACAUACCUGGCCCCCAGUAUCAGGCAAGCCAAGAACAUUGGCUUGGCCGAAGUAACCGUGUACUGAGAAUAUCACAAUAUUGAAGAUCGUCGGAAGCCUGCCUAAGAAUCUCUCAACAUUCAUUGGGUCCGGAGCCUGGAGUACCUCAGAGAGCGAACGCAUCAUUUCUCUGACUCUUGCAGCGGUACUCUGUAGCAUUAAUGCCUUCAACAGUGAGAUCAUGGGCAUUCACUUUAACGUAUUCCCAAUAGCCUGGACUCGGUCUUACCGCAAAGGCAACAUACGGAGGAAUAACAGCCGCUUCCUGUGGAUUUUCGGACAAAAC
Long non-coding RNA from Amaranthus tricolor (Joseph's coat), 670 nucleotides. RefSeq lists it as uncharacterized. The record is from RefSeq and is a predicted model, not a curated record. NCBI's taxonomy places the organism in Eukaryota, Viridiplantae, Streptophyta, Magnoliopsida, Caryophyllales, Amaranthaceae. The transcript has 4 exons.